UAUCUCUGUAGAGUCUGCAUAUCAAUAAGCGGAGGAAAAGAAACUAACUAGGAUUCCCUCAGUAACGGCGAGUGAAGCGGGAAGAGCUCAAAUUUGAAAUCUUCAAGGUUCUACCUUGACGAAUUGUAGUUUAAAGAAGUGUUUUCUGUUGGAGUUUUGGUAAAAGUUCUUUGGAAUAGGACAUCAUAGAGGGUGAGAAUCCCGUAUUUGACCAUUAUUUCCAGCUUUGUGAUACACUUUCAAAGAGUCGGAUUGUUUGGGAAUGCUGUCCAAAAUGGGUGGUAAAUUUCAUCUAAAGCUAAAUAUUGGCGAGAGACCGAUAGCGAACAAGUACCGUGAGGGAAAGAUGAAAAGAACUUUGAAAAGAGAGUUAAACAGUACGUGAAAUUGUCAAAAGGGAAGCGUUUGACACCAGUGUUGUUUUCUCGAAAAUCAAUUAAAAAAGGCAGGAUUUUGUGUUGUAUUGACUUUAUCAGCUUUCUGCACUCUUAUCUUGUCUUUUUUAAUGCACUUUUCGUUUAACAAGUCAACAUCAAUUUCUUUUGUUGUAAAAGGGUCAUUGGAAGGUGGCUUUCUUUUCGGAGAAAGUGUUUAUAGCCUUUGGCCUCUGCAAUCGGAGAGAUUGAGGUCUGCAGCGUAGAUCCUUCGGGGUUAGAUACAUUUGUGCUAAGUUAUAGCCUUUCAUAGACAACUUGUUGACUAUGAUCAGUCAUGUAGCUUACUCGCUUAUGCUACUUUUACCUACGCUUAGGAUGUUGACGAUCAGCUGAGCGCG
This 775-nucleotide ribosomal RNA is filed under the name uncultured Neocallimastigales. RNAcentral's name for it is "partial large subunit ribosomal RNA". It matches the Rfam family "Eukaryotic large subunit ribosomal RNA", at positions 24 to 627 of the family's 3401-position model. Lineage: Eukaryota; Fungi; Neocallimastigomycota; Neocallimastigomycetes; Neocallimastigales. The record is from RNAcentral.